ACUCCUACGGGAGGCAGCAGUAGGGAAUCUUCCGCAAUGGACGAAAGUCUGACGNAGCAACUGCCGCGUGAGUGAAGAAGGUUUUCGGAUCUGUAAAACUCUGUUGUUAGAGAAGAACAAGGAUGAGAGUAACUGCUCGUCCCUUGACGGUUUCUANCCAGAAAGCCAGGCUAACUAC
RNAcentral lists this ribosomal RNA (178 nucleotides) under uncultured Gram-positive bacterium. RNAcentral's name for it is "partial 16S ribosomal RNA". It matches the Rfam family "Bacterial small subunit ribosomal RNA", at positions 335 to 504 of the family's 1533-position model. The record is from RNAcentral.